UAUGGUAAGUGCCAGCCGCCGCGGUAAUACGUAGGUGGCGAGCGUUGUCCGGAAUUAUUGGGCGUAAAGAGCAUGUAGGCGGCUUAAUAAGUCGAGCGUGAAAAUGCGGGGCUCAACCCCGUAUGGCGCUGGAAACUGUUAGGCUUGAGUGCAGGAGAGGAAAGGGGAAUUCCCAGUGUAGCGGUGAAAUGCGUAGAUAUUGGGAGGAACACCAGUGGCGAAGGCGCCUUUCUGGACUGUGUCUGACGCUGAGAUGCGAAAGCCAGGGUAGCGAACGGG
This 279-nucleotide ribosomal RNA is filed under the name Phascolarctobacterium faecium. RNAcentral's name for it is "partial 16S ribosomal RNA". It matches the Rfam family "Bacterial small subunit ribosomal RNA", at positions 497 to 776 of the family's 1533-position model. The record is from RNAcentral. Lineage: Bacteria; Bacillati; Bacillota; Negativicutes; Acidaminococcales; Acidaminococcaceae.